CAACACUCCCUUUUCCAUUUUCCUAAAUUCCCAACCCAUCCCAACAGAAAAAAGGGAAAUGAUUUCAGAGUCAUAACUCCAAAUAAAGCAAAGGAAUGGAAAAAUGAAAUAGGGAGUACAGAUAUUUGACACACAUAGAGAUACCUACAGAACUGCACUACGGUGCAAAAACCUUUAAUAAGACUUCGUGCAAUAAGAAUUAAGGAAAUUGGUUUGCUACAGUGACAAUACAGUGGCAUUCCUCCCACAAACAGGGAUUGCAUUCCCUAGGAUGUAUAGUUAUUAAAGGCUCAAG
This 295-nucleotide unclassified non-coding RNA is filed under the name Hevea brasiliensis (rubber tree). The record is from RNAcentral. Lineage: Eukaryota; Viridiplantae; Streptophyta; Magnoliopsida; Malpighiales; Euphorbiaceae.